UCUCAUAUAUGGGAGUUUAAACGGUACGUCAUGUUACAUGUCUUUUGUAACCGACACUUAAUUUCUCAAUUCAAUGUUUCUUCUUCGACUGAACAUUUGAGGGGUUGUUUGCAAGAGAGAAGUUAGUCUGGAAAAUUCGGUUGUUAGCUGCGGCAUGUUUAUAGCUUGCUCUCAAGGUAGACGAAAUUGAUGCUUUUUCGACUAUUGAUUUGCAGGUUACUGAAAUUUAUCAGUAAAUCGUAUGCUUUCUCUAUUUGUUAUGAGUUUUUGACCGAGACUGAGUUCCCGGCCAAAUAUCUUUGGAAACGCUUUGGGAUUUGCAGAGAAGUUAGUCUGGAAAAUUAAGUUGUUAGCUGCGGCGUGUUCUUAGCUUCCUAUCAAGAUAGAAGAAAUUGAUGCUCUAUCGACUAUCGAUUUGUAGGUAAAUGAAAUUUAUCACCAAGUCGUAUGCUUUCUCUAUUUGUUAUGAGUUUUUGAAUCUAGAAUCUGUAUGCUAAGUAGCUAAAGAUACUUGCGUUCUUCAUUUUAAAUAAGUGUAUUUUUUGGUUAUAUGUACGCCCUGAAUAUAAGUGAUGGCCUAUGAGGAAAGUCCAUAAACGAAACAUAGAGCAACAUACCCUUGAAGCCUUUUGUUGUUUCUGUGAGUUAAAGAACCACUUUUUGUAGGUUCCUUUCCAUAACUUAGGUGUAGUGUCCUUAACGCACGUCCUUAAGAGCACGUGAGCUAAAUGUUGCUUAACAACAGUUUAAGAUUGAAGCAAGGUAUAUUUGUUUAUAUGCAAAAUUGAUGAACAAAGCUUAAUUGAUAAGGAAGACAAACAUAUAAGCAAAAUCAACAAACUGAUACUGAUAUGACAAUAUAUGAAGGUGUUGGAUACAUUUACUAUGCAGAUGAUCACUGUAUAAGCCAGUUGUUUUCCGGUACUUUGCAAAGUUCUUUUUCACCCAUUUCAUGAGCUCGAUAACAUAAUCACCCUUAAUAUUAUUGGCUUGCACUCCAAUCUUCCACAAAUAUGUGAAGUUUUAAUUAAAUUUAUUGAAGCGGAAACUCUGUGGUGUCAGGCUUGCACUCCAAUCUUCCACAAGGUCAAUGUACAUGCUCAAAAUAUAAUUACAAACAUAAAGUUGAUUGAGCUAAACAUUCUUCUACAUUUAAUCUACUUUGAUAUAUCGUGUUGUAGCUUAACUGAUUUUUCAGUCAUACGGUAAUACUUUAAUUUGCCAAAUAUCUAUCUGUAUUUGCAGUCAAUCGCUUCAUUUAAAUUGUACAGUUGCAGGAAGAUGGAUUAGCAACCAACAUUUCACUUUUCAUUGGUUGCUGCUAAGUAUGACAUAGUAAAUAGAAUGAGUUUUAUUAGUAAGGAUAUAAUGACACUAUUUAAUGGAGAAAUCAGAUAUUUAUGGUGUUAAAUUUUCCUAUUAAUUUCAGGGCAUAUGAUCGUGUUGCGAUUGAAUUUAGAAGACUGGAUGCAGAUAUCAAUUUCAAUGUUAGUUAUUACCAUGAUGAUCUAAUGCACUUUCACAAAAAUUAUUUUUGGGCAAUUGGUGCUGUUUUGGACUAUCUACUACAUACUAAGGAGCAUGGACAGAUGAAAGGGGAUGAUCUUCUGGCGGGUAUGCUUCUAAUAAGAAGCUAUCUUGCAGAAGCACCAGAUGCAUGUAAAGAUAAGGUCACAGAACUCCUAGGCUAUAUACUUUCAAUUGAAGGAGAAGAUGAAUUGAGUCCUUUUUAUUCCAUCUGUUUUUUUUUUGCUUCCGAUAAUGUGUCGAAUAACUCUCAAGACUAGAGGACGUAAAAUUUUAGCUUCC
Molecule: long non-coding RNA, 1809 nt
Organism: Lycium ferocissimum
Lineage: Eukaryota; Viridiplantae; Streptophyta; Magnoliopsida; Solanales; Solanaceae
Exons: 3
Source: RefSeq, a predicted model, not a curated record